Molecule: ribosomal RNA, 492 nt
Filed under: uncultured bacterium
Lineage: Bacteria
Description: bacterial SSU rRNA
Rfam family: Bacterial small subunit ribosomal RNA
Source: RNAcentral
GAUGAACGCUGGCGGCGUGCUUAACACAUGCAAGUCGAACGGAGUUUUACUAUUGAAGAUUUAGCUUGCUAUUGACUGAUAUUUGUAAAACUUAGUGGCGGACGGGUGAGUAACGCGUGGGUAACCUGCCGUAUACAGGGGGACAACAGUUGGAAACGACUGCUAAUACCGCAUAAUGUGUUUUGGGGGCAUCCCCGAGACACCAAAGCUUUAUGUGCUGAAAGAUGGCCUCGCGUCUGAUUAGAUAGUUGGUGAGGUAACGGCUCACCAAGUCUGCGAUCAGUAGCCGGUCUGAGAGGAUGAACGGCCACAUUGGGACUGAGAUACGGCCCAGACUCCUACGGGAGGCAGCAGUGGGGAAUAUUGGGCAAUGGGGGAAACCCUGACCCAGCAACGCCGCGUGAAGGAAGAAGGCCUUCGGGUUGUAAACUUCUUUUAGCAGGGACGAAGAACGUGACGGUACCUGCAGAAAAAGCAACGGCUAACUACGUG